RNAcentral lists this ribosomal RNA (484 nucleotides) under uncultured bacterium. RNAcentral's name for it is "partial 16S ribosomal RNA". It matches the Rfam family "Bacterial small subunit ribosomal RNA", at positions 30 to 507 of the family's 1533-position model. The record is from RNAcentral.
AUUGAACGCUGGCGGCAGGCCUAACACAUGCAAGUCGAGCGGGUGAAGCGAUCUGGCUCCUGGAUUCAGCGGCGGACGGGUGAGUAAUGCCUAGGAAUCUGCCUGGUAGUGGGUGAUAACGUCCGGAAACGGGCGCUAAUACCUCAUACGUCCUGAGGGAGAAAGUGGGUGAUCUUCGGACCUCACGCUAUCAGAUGAGCCUAGGUCGGAUUAGCUAUUUGGUGGGUUAAAGGCCUACCAAGGCGACGAUCCGUAACUGGUGUGAGGGGAUGAUCAGUCACACCGGAACUGAGACACGGUCCAGACUCCUACGGGAGGCAGCGGUGGGGAAUAUUGGACAAUGGGAGAAAGGCUGAUCCAGCCAUGCCGCGUGUGUGAAGAAGGUAUUCGGAUUGUAAAGCACUUUAAGUUGGGAGGAAGGGCAGUAAGUUAAUACCUUGCUGUUUUGACGUUACCAACAGAAUAAGCACCGGCUAACUUCGUG